GCUUCCAGCCGAACUAAACUGCUUGUUUCUUGCGAAACAGUAACAGAGAGAGCAAGGAUGAUGGAGAAGCCCGGGUUUUCAAUUGCAGUAUUGACUUUGCUUUAUUUGCUGGCGCAAGUCAUCGCGAUCGAGAAACCCCAAUACGAAAUAGUACAUGCAGAAUCAGAUUUUGAGGUCAGAUUAUACACUCAAUCCACAUGGAUGGCUGCCCCAGUAAGUGAAAUCUCUUUCGAAAAGGCCACCUUGGAUGGCUUUCACAGGUUGUUCCA
Molecule: unclassified non-coding RNA, 269 nt
Filed under: Hevea brasiliensis (rubber tree)
Lineage: Eukaryota; Viridiplantae; Streptophyta; Magnoliopsida; Malpighiales; Euphorbiaceae
Source: RNAcentral